Non-coding RNA from Pelobates cultripes (western spadefoot toad), 237 nucleotides. The record is from the annotation of a GenBank genome assembly. NCBI's taxonomy places the organism in Eukaryota, Metazoa, Chordata, Amphibia, Anura, Pelobatidae.
AGACAAUCGACAGGUUCAUUAAAAAGGGACACUGGAUGAGUUAUUACCUGUCUCUUGUAGCCUUCUGGAAGCCGGAAGUGGACACAGAGACAGACCGACACAAAACAGGAGAAUAACACAGACAACGGCUGUAUUAUGGAGGUGAUCAGGCUCCGGUUGUCCCACUUUCCAGAGGUCCGCUCCGGUCCGUUGGUUUCUGGCCCUCCGAACCGGCAAAUCCGGUGGCCCCACGUUGGG